Molecule: ribosomal RNA, 497 nt
Filed under: uncultured bacterium
Lineage: Bacteria
Description: partial 16S ribosomal RNA
Rfam family: Bacterial small subunit ribosomal RNA
Source: RNAcentral
GAUGAACGCUGGCGGCGUGCCUAAUACAUGCAAGUCGAGCGAACAGACGAGGAGCUUGCUCCUCUGACGUUAGCGGCGGACGGGUGAGUAACACGUGGAUAACCUACCUAUAAGACUGGGAUAACUUCGGGAAACCGGAGCUAAUAACGGAUAAUAUAUUGAACCGCAUGGUUCAAUAGUGAAAGACGGUUUUGCUGUCACUUAUAGAUGGAUCCGCGCCGCAUUAGCUAGUUGGUAAGGUAACGGCUUACCAAGGCAACGAUGCGUAGCCGACCUGAGAGGGUGAUCGGCCACACUGGAACUGAGACGCGGUCCAGACUCCUACGGGAGGCAGCAGUAGGGAAUCUUCCGCAAUGGGCGAAAGCUUGACGGAGCAACGCCGCGUGAGUGAUGAAGGUCUUCGGAUCGUAAAACUCUGUUAUUAGGGAAGAACAAAUGUGUAAGUAACUAUGCACGUCUUGACGGUACCUAAUCAGAAAGCCACGGCUAACUACGUG